AAUUUCGCUACCUUAGGACCGUUAUUCCUUGUCGGGUAAGUUCCGACCUGCACGAAUGGUGUAACGAUCUGGGCACUGUCUCAACCAUGAGCUCGGUGAAAUUGUAGUAUCGGUGAAGAUGCCGAUUACCCGCAAUGGGACGAAAAGACCCUGUGAACCUUUACUAUAGCUUCGUAUUGACUUCGGGUAAAUGAUGUGUAGGAUAGGUGGGAAACUAUGAAGCGGCUUCGCUAGGAGUCGUGGAGUUAACGUUGAAAUACCACCCUUUAUUUAUCUGGAGCCUAACUUCUGUAAGAAGGACAUUGCGUGGCGGGUAGUUUGACUGGGGUGGUCGCCUCCAAAAGAGUAACGGAGGCUUUCAAAGGUACCCUCAGCACGCUUGGCAACCGUGCGUAGAGUGUAAUGGCAUAAGGGUGCUUGACUGUGAGGCCAACAAGCCGAACAGGUGCGAAAGCAGGACAUAGUGAUCCGGUGGUUCCGCAUGGAAGGGCCAUCGCUCAUAGGAUAAAAGGUACUCCGGGGAUA
Molecule: ribosomal RNA, 525 nt
Filed under: uncultured Flavobacteriales bacterium
Lineage: Bacteria; Pseudomonadati; Bacteroidota; Flavobacteriia; Flavobacteriales
Description: partial 23S ribosomal RNA
Rfam family: Bacterial large subunit ribosomal RNA
Source: RNAcentral